Molecule: long non-coding RNA, 1411 nt
Organism: Xenopus laevis (African clawed frog)
Lineage: Eukaryota; Metazoa; Chordata; Amphibia; Anura; Pipidae
Exons: 4
Source: RefSeq, a predicted model, not a curated record
UCCCUCAUCCAAAGGCGCGGCUUUGCGGGGAAACAACAAGCACGUAGCUGAUUGGUCGAAGGAUCGGAAGGAGGGAAGUAUGGAACGUCUCCAUUGGUUACUGUAGAAGAGCGGGGAGAGUAGGCGGGGCGAGAAAGAGACUGAAGACGCGGGAUAGUUGAAUAGGAACGUUUGGCAGUGUGUGAAGUGGCGCAUUAGCAGCAGGAAGCUGGUGUGUGCGGUAGUGACUGUAUGGAGAGGGAAAGGAACAUAAAACUGCUCUUCACAUUUGUCUCGCUCUCUUCUGAGCAGCUGCGGGGGGAUUUUGUGUCAAUUAUGGGCGAGUGCCGUAAAUAAGCGGUUAGUUAAUGUUCUGCCUGUAUUCCUCCUGCUCACGUGACGAGACUAAACAUUCAGUGGCUCCAAUUAAAGUGAUAUUAUACGGCUAAUGCUAAUCUACAACAGAUGAGCUGCUAUAGUAUGAAUGACGUGUCAGUGCUGGUGUGCAGAGGAUAAAUGAAAUCCUGGAAAAUGUAUCUUAGUCUACAGUCUCUGUGAAAAAAAAACAGGGGGAGCGUGGAUCUGCCAGGUCUCAGUGUGUGUGCAGCGAACAAAAAAAGAGGUUGAUCAAAGGAAGCAUGAUCAAACACUUUAUAACGUCCCAUGAUGUGACCUUACAGUAACCAAAGAAGCAUGUAGAUCUGGUGGCACGUGGGGUGUAAUCUUCUCCAAUAUAUUUCUGCCACUGGAGAAUCAGCAAAGACUGCAGCGACCCUAAGCUCAUGGUCUGCGCUGGAGCUAUGGACCUAUAAUUCUGAUUGGCUGCCGGCUGCCUUAUUGUACAUGCAAGAUCUGCACUGCAAACAGACCCCCAGGUUGAACUGGGCAAUGAAAGAACCUGAUUAAAUCCUGUAGAAGGUGGCAGUUGCUCUGUUUCUUUUGGAUUCACCACUAUUAACUAAUAGCAUUUACAGGUAACAGAUUUGCUAAAAUGAACACAAGCUAAUAACAGGUAUAAUGAAGUUUUCAGGUCUCAAAAUGUAAAAACUCACCCAAUGCAAGAAGAGGUCCAGGUGCACCGCCCUGAUCCUUCAGCUGGGGGAGAGGAUAACCGUAUCAAAAAAAGAGCAGGCACUUCCAAAGACCAAUCUUCCAGACAGACUUGUUAAAUAACAUUCUCAGAUACUAUCUUCAUUUCUCCCUUGUUUUAUAUAUUAGGAGGUGAAAACUAGUUCCAUGCAGUUUAUUGUUAAUAUUUGCCAAACAAAUGUGAUCCAAAACAUAUGUCGGCCUCUUUCAAAUGUCACUUUUAAUACAAGCGGUGUUACAGUUUGCUACAGGAAACCCAUUUCAUUAGGAGCCUAAGCCUUUCUGCAUAGCCCAGGGCUUCAUAUUCUUUAUAUUGAGCGAUACUCGUAGGCUGGAUUCUGCU